UCUCUCUCUCUCUCUCUCGCUGUGUGUGUGUGUGUGCACGACGCGUGUUUGCGAAUCAUGUUUUUUUUUGCUAAGGUGUGAAUCAUGUUGCUCAAUACGAUAUUUGAGUGAGGUUAGAGCGAACAAAUAAUAUAGAUAAGAUUUAAUGGUUUCUUCAAGUUAACUGAAAGGUAUCCAAAAUUAGUCAUGAGUACUGGAUUCUGGAAAAUGGAGGAGGGUUACAUCUUUCGCGUGAAAGAAAAAUUCACCUUCGUUCGCGCGAAUCCACUGUUGGAUUACCCACUGUACAGCUCUCAUGGCACUCCAAAUCCAAUUAUUCAUUCAUCUACACAAAUCUCAAAGUGACCAGUGAUGAUCCAGUGAUGGAUCCAGAUGAAGGAAGGUGAAUCCUUCCUUCCUUCAUGCCAAAGAUACAACCCCGAUCCCUGAAAAGUGGUAGUUUUGUUUUAUAUAUAUAUAUAUA
Molecule: long non-coding RNA, 463 nt
Filed under: Phoenix dactylifera (date palm)
Lineage: Eukaryota; Viridiplantae; Streptophyta; Magnoliopsida; Arecales; Arecaceae
Description: long non-coding RNA (PDAC_LNC022992)
Source: RNAcentral